UGGGGGAUAUUGCACAAUGGGCGAAAGCCUGAUGCAGCGACGCCGCGUGGGGGAUGAAGGCUUUCGGGUUGUAAACCUCUUUCGCUAUCGAACAAGGCCCGCUUAGGGUGGGUUGAGGGUAGGUGGAGAAGAAGCGCCGGCUAACUACGUGCCAGCAGCCGCGGUAAUACGUAGGGCGCGAGCGUUGUCCGGAAUUCUUGGGCGUAAAGGGCUUGUAGGCGGCUUGUUGCGCCUGCUGUGAAAACGCGGGGCUUAACUUCGCGCGUGCAGUGGGUACGGGCAGGCUUGAGUGUGGUAGGGGUGACUGGAAUUCCAGGUGUAGCGGUGGAAUGCGCAGAUAUCUGGAGGAACACCGAUGGCGAAGGCAGGUCACUGGGCCAUUACUGACGCUGAGGAGCGAAAGCAUGGGUAGCGAACAGG
RNAcentral lists this ribosomal RNA (420 nucleotides) under bacterium. Its description in RNAcentral is "partial 16S ribosomal RNA". It matches the Rfam family "Bacterial small subunit ribosomal RNA", at positions 355 to 776 of the family's 1533-position model. The record is from RNAcentral.